Molecule: long non-coding RNA, 2011 nt
Organism: Asparagus officinalis (garden asparagus)
Lineage: Eukaryota; Viridiplantae; Streptophyta; Magnoliopsida; Asparagales; Asparagaceae
Exons: 10
Source: RefSeq, a predicted model, not a curated record
CCCUCGACCUCAUCCGGCGGCAGAUCCUCUCUCCGAUACAUGGACGGCGGCUACGCUCGAGAACCGCCGCAUCGAGAGCGAGCCCUUCCUCUCCCACGUCGCUGGCCAGGUGCUCCAGGGCCUCGCCUACCUCCACAGCCGGAAGAUCGUCCACCGCGACAUCAAGCCGUCUAAUCUCCUCAUCAACAGCCAGAAGCAGAUCAAGAUCGCUCACUUCGGGGUCGGGAGAAAAAGGCAACGCCUUUAUUGGGAAAAUUGGAUCAUCUUGCAGCUUCAAUCACUCGCUCACCAACAAACGAUUACUAUCUUGAUUGUAUUCAUCAACACAAAAGAGAUCUUUGCUUCAGGCUUGCUUUCCUCCUUCAGCCUAAUUUCGCUAUUUCAGGGAAAAUUUGUUCUUCGCUCUGCUAAUUCCAUGGAUAGUAUGAACACAUAAGUGGAUAUCUAAGUAACCAUGCAUUUGUGACAUUGCUUGGUUGAGAAGGGGUUGGCUGAGAGAUUGAGGAUGGGUAGUUUGCUUGAGGAUGGACUAUGAGGUUGGGAUUAACAAAACUGUCACUGUCGAGACCAUUGCCAAUCUCCUUCAGGUUUCGUAAGAGUUUUCGCUAAUUCAGGUUUCUUGUUAUUUUUUCAUGUCAAACAGCUAUAUUUCAUGCCAAAUCAGGGGAUUGCCUCCAGUCUAGAUAGACAGUAGACAAAAUUGGUGAUUCUGUUGGGGAGACUCAUGGGGUCUCCUAAUCAUUUCAAAAAGCAAUUAGAGUGGCUUCAAAUCAUUGUUUCGGUCUCUCAAAGUUCAAGUGCCUUUUACAGAAGCGACUUUGCUUACGCCAAUGAAGUGUUUUAAGAAAGCUGUAGAGAAAUGUCACAUGGAUUCAUUAGGCACGUAGUCUCUUCAGUUUCCUGGGGUAAACAUGUUGCAGUUGGCACUGGAACUCAUUUUGAAGUUAUAUGGGGCCACAAAAACCCGGUGGCAUGUAAUGAAGAUGUGGGGAAAGACGUGUAUGAUCUUUUGCUAUGGGUUAGGGAGCCUCAAUAAAGGGAUUUACCUGGUGCUUGCUUGGGAAGUGAUAUCGACUACUCCUUGGAUGAUUUCCAAGGCAAUGACAUGCCCUUGUUUUCUGUGAGAAGCCAACCUUUGAAGAUUAUGUUGAAACUGAGAGCAGAGGUAACCACAGCUGGCAAGAAUGGGGAAGAACAGGCAAACCUUCUUCAAACUGGGAUAAUGGCAGUCCGAAUUGCAUUUUCUUAUGCAAUGAUCAAGAUGCGCUCUUUUUUUGUCGUCCUAAAGAUAAUCAGUGGACACAACACAAGCAUGAUUUGUAUCAUGAUAUCCGUGAAGAUGACUUCUUACGUGAUGUCACAAGCUUCAAUGGAGGAUUUUCGGGCUGACGCGGUCCAGUUUUGUGGCAAUUGAAUGUUACCCAAGUCAUUCUAGAAUCAACAUAUUGGGAGAAAUCAAUGUGAAACAUAAGGUGAUGGUUUAUUUUGAGGACUAUUUGGUUGCGUGUCUUGGGGAGCUUUAUCUUGUAAGGCUACAUCGAAGGAGUACAGCAAUUGAAGUGCAACCUGUUUCGGUUACAAAGAGGGGUUCUAAUAAUAGUGAAUGGGUUUAUGUGCAUGAUAUAGAUGGCUGUGUGAUCUUUUUGGAUCUAAAUGAGGGCUUCUGUGCGUCUCGGUCUGCAAGUGAGCUCAGCCUUGUAGGUGAUUGCAUAUAUUAUGUAAACAUAGGCGAAACAUGUUUUUUCUGUUAUGAUAUGAAGACAGAUUGCACCCAGGCCAAUUUGCCUUGUCAUCAUGUUCGUGAGGGAUCGUGGUCAAGAUCUAUGUGGGUACUGCCACCGCUUUGAGUGAAUCUGCUGGUCAAUUAUCAUGUAAUGAAUGAUUAAUGCGAAUUUAUGCUUUCUUCUUAGGAAUUUCAAGAUAACUGAAGUUUUUUGCACUUUCUCUUUGUCGGAGACUGGAUUUGUUUUGGGUGUAUAAUGACAUAAUGUUGCACCUAGGUAAUUGUUAG